RNAcentral lists this long non-coding RNA (3438 nucleotides) under Equus asinus (donkey). RNAcentral describes it as "lncRNA (ENSEASG00005030823.1)". Lineage: Eukaryota; Metazoa; Chordata; Mammalia; Perissodactyla; Equidae. The record is from RNAcentral.
CAGCCCCACAGCAUACUUCAGGAUGUGUCAGAAAUGCAAAUUCUGGGGUUCCACCUAACAACUACUGAAUCAGACACUCUGGGGUGGGCCCAGGGAUCAGUGUUUUCACAGGCCCUCCUGGGAUUCUGGUGGGCAUUCACGCUGGAGAACCACGGGUGAAGAGCAAGGGCAGUGAGCCAGACUGUCUGUGUUGGAACCAGCUCAACUCUGUCCCGUGGGAUCUUGAGCAAGUAACUCAACUUCCCCGUGUCUCAGUUUCCUCAUCUGCAAAGUGAAGGUGUUGGACUGAGGACCUCAGUUCCUUGCUAGCUCUUGGCUGGAGGCCUUCUUCGCUUCCUUGCUUCUUGGAUGUCUCCACUGAGUUGCCUCACAGCGUGGCUGAUGGCUUCCCCCAGAGCAAGUGGUCCAAGAGAAACAGAAUAUCUAAGAGAGAAGUCACAACCAUUUUACAACCCAAUGUCAAAGUGACACUGCUGCUGUAUUCUCUCUGUUAGAAGCAGGUCAAUAAAUCCAGGCCACACUCAAGGGAUGGGAUUAUACAAGGGCAGAAUACCAAGAUGUGGAGAUCACUGGGGGCCAUCCUAGAGUCUGCCUCCUGCGUGGGGACACAGUAGUGGGCAAAAUAACCCUUAACUCAUGAAGCCUACAUUCUUGUGCGGAAAGUCAAGUAUUUAGUAUGUUAGAAGAUGAUAAGUACAAUGGAAAAAGAUAAAUCUUAGUUGGAAUUUUCUAUAGCUUUAUUGUAGAUUCUUGGAGUAGAAUUACUGAGUCAAAACAUCUGAUUUGGAAAAAAAAAAGAUAUGUUGGGGCCGGCCUUGUGCAGCAGUUAAAUUUGCAUAUUCUCCUUUGGUGGCCGAGGGUUUGCUGGUUCAGAUCCCAGGUACAGACCUACACAUCGCUUAUCAAGCCAUGCUGUGGCAGGCAUCCCACAUAUAAAACAGAGUAAGAUGGGCACAGAUGAUAGCUCAGGGCCAGCCUUCCUCGGCAAAAAGAGGAGGAUUGGUGGCAGAUGUUAGCUCAGGGUUAAUCUUCCUCAAAAAAAAAAAAAAAGAUAUGACUUGUAUCAGAGCUCUUAGUUGCAACCAAAAAAACCAACUGAUUCAUUUAUGCAGAAUUAAAUAAUUUUACUUUAUUAUUGAAAUGACCAACGAGAAAUGGCCAGUAUGAAAAACCAAUGAGUAGUGCACAGAAUCUCUGGUAGGACAAGAGAACCAGGUCUGGAGUUCCCAGCCAGGAACAAUGCCUCAAAUCGCACUGCAGAGCUGAUCAUAUAAAUUCAACAUGACCAUCACUGUGGGGUAGUUUGUAGCACAGAUAUCACAGAGCUGCAACAGUGGACACAGGCCCCGGAACCAACUCCUCUGCCACCUCUGUUGCAGCCAUCUUUGCCAGUAGCUGUUCCAUAAAGUCCCUACUUUUAUACAUUAGUGGCACUGGUUCCAGAUCUGGGCCGGUGUAUCUGAUAGGUGAAGCCUAGAUCAUGUGCCACAAGGGAGACAAGGAAAGGAAAUAUUUGGCAAGUCUAAUUUCUGUGGUGGAAAAGGGAUUCUAUUUCACAAGGAAAAGGGAUCAGAUGCCACCUGGUCAACAUCCACCGAAACUAUUUUUAAGAUUCUUGAUCCAUAUUGCCAAGAUGCUUUCAUGAAAUGUACCAAUUUUUAUGCCCAUCAGUAGUGUAUUUGAAUGUCCAUUUCAUUGCAUCCUCACUGGCGAUGAUAGUUUACGGCUUUUUAUUUACACUUGCCUUCUGGGUGAUCUUGUGUAGUCUCAAGGCUUUAAAAACAACUGACAACCCCCAGUUUUUUUAUGUCCACCCUGAUCUCUCCCCUGAACUUCAGCCUUAUAGAUCCAACUACCUUCUCCACCUCUCCACUUGGAUGUCGGAUAAGUAUUUUAAGUUAACAUGUCCAAAUACCAAACAGACAUUCUGAAAUCACCCUCUCCCCCUCUACUACAAACCUACACCUUCUGCCCCCAUCAAUAACCAGAAACUCCAUUUUCCUAGUUGUUCAAGCUAAAGUCCUUGGCGUCAUUCUCAACUCCUGCCUUUUGUCUCCCACCCGGGAUUCAAUCUAUCAGUGAAUCCAGCUGGCUCUGUCUUUCUUCAAAGGGAUCAGAGUCCAAUCCCUCUUCCCCGCCACCUUUUCCCCACCACUACUGUUACCUGGUCAGAGCCACUGUCGUCUCUUACCUGGGUUGUUGUGAUAAUCUCCUACCUGGUCUCCUGGUUUCUGCCCUUGUAAACCUAAAAUCUCUUCUCAACCCAGCAAUAAGAGUGAUGCUGUUAAAAUGUAAAUCAGGGGGCUGGCCCCGUGGCCAAGUGGUUAGGUUCGUGUGCUCCGCUGCAGGUGGCCCAGUGUUUCAUUGGUUCGAAUCCUGGGCUUGGACAUGGCACCGCUCAUCAAACCACCCUGAGGCAGCGUCCCACAUGCCACAACUAGAAGGACCCACAACGAAGAAUAUACAACCAUGUACUGGGGGGCUUUGGGGAGAAAAGGAGAAAAAAAUGUAAAUCAGUUGUUAUGGGCUGAAUCGUGUCCCCCCCAAAUUCACACUUUGAGGCCCUAACCCCUAGUACCUCAGAAUGUGACUGUAUUUGGAGACAGGGCCUUUAAAGAGGUGAUUAAAUUAAAAAGAGGCAUUAGGGUGAGCCCUAGUCCAACGUGAUUGGUGUCCUUAUAAGAAGAGGAAACUCAGACACACAGAUUGGCACCAGGGAUGCACACACAGGAGAAAGAUCAUGUGAGGACGCAGCAAGAAGGCAGCCAUCUGCAAGGCCUCAGAAGAAACCGAGCUGCCCACACCUUGAUCUUGGACUUCCAGCCUCCAGAAUUGUGAGAAUGUAAAUUUCUGUUUAAGCCACUCAGUCUGUGGUAUUUUGUUAUAGCAGCCCUAGCAAACUGAUACAUCAGAUUACACCAUCCUCUCCCCAAACCCUCCCGGGGCUUCCCACUUUUUUGUGAGUUAAAGCUGAAGUUCUUACAGUGACCUACAGAGUCGUAUAUCAUCUGGCCUCUACCCUCUUCCUCUAGCCCGACUCCUUUCACUCUCUCCUUGGUCAUUCUGUUCUAGCCACUCAGCCUCCUUGGUUCCUUGAACACAACAGCCACAUUUUUGCCUCAGGGCCUUUUCACUUUCUGGCAUCCCCACUGAGAAGCCCUUUCCCCUGCAUUGCUCAUCCCCUCAUCUCUUUCAGUGACUUACUCACCCCUGACCACCCUAAAAGAGAACUGCCCUCUCCCCCUCCCUAAGGCCCUCCCCUCCCUGGUUUUACUUUUCUUGUUUCUCACCAUCUAACAUACUAUAGAUUUUACAUAUUUAUUUUUUUAUUGUCUGCCUCCCAUGCUACCAUGAAAUCUCCAAGAGGAUGGAAUUUGUGUCUGCUUUGUUCACUGCUGAAGCUCCAAGAUCUGAAUAUUGUCUUAAAAAUAGUACGUG